RNAcentral lists this unclassified non-coding RNA (519 nucleotides) under Scleria pooides. Its description in RNAcentral is "partial external transcribed spacer 1". Lineage: Eukaryota; Viridiplantae; Streptophyta; Magnoliopsida; Poales; Cyperaceae. The record is from RNAcentral.
UGAGUUGUUCUAGACUUGCUUUCGAAGCGGGCUCCCCGCAUAAUUGUGCGGCCAACUGUUUCGUAGCUAGUUUCUCGAGCGUCCCGCCCCGAUGCACAUAUUGUGCUUGGCUGUUGCGAUUAAUGGGUUGUUGCCUGUGUUGCUACUAUUAUUGGGAUAAUGUUUGUUUUGUGACUACGGCAUGCCAUGUUGCCUUCGAUUAUGAUUUUGAGAAAGUUGCGUAGGCUAUUGAAACAUCGGCUUUGUUCGGGAGCGAUCGAUGAGUCUCGACUCGUCCGCAGCUCCCGACAUAUUUAUAUGAGCAGCUCUUUCGGAUGCGGUAGCUAUGUCGGUUCUUGUGGUCCUCGUCGGUCCGCAUGCAACCUCGUAGUGCACACCCGUAACAGUUYGUUGUGUGUGCGGGAGUUCUAUGAUAUAUUGGUGAUUGCCUUGCGUGCGUGCGUAAUGGCAUUCCGUCCGGGAGUGCUUCGGCAGCUCGCAGGCUCACUUUUCUGACUUGCUACCUGGUUGAUCCUGCCA